GUAGGGGGCGAGCGUUGUCCGGAUUUAUUGGGCGUAAAGAGCUCGUAGGCGGUUUGGCAAGUCGGGUGUGAAAACUCCGGGCUCAACUCGGAGACGCCACUCGAUACUGCCAUGACUCGAGUCCGGUAGGGGAGUGCGGAAUUCCUGGUGUAGCGGUGAAAUGCGCAGAUAUCAGGAGGAACACCGGUGGCGAAGGCGGCACUCUGGGCCGGAACUGACGCUGAGGAGCGAAAGCGUGGGGAGCGAACAGGAUUAGAUACCCUGGUAGUCCACGCCGUAAACGUUGGGCACUAGGUGUGGGGCUCGAUCGACGGGCUCCGUGCCGUAGCUAACGCAUUAAGUGCCCCGCCUGGGAAGUACGGCCGCAAGGCUA
RNAcentral lists this ribosomal RNA (373 nucleotides) under uncultured bacterium. RNAcentral describes it as "bacterial SSU rRNA". It matches the Rfam family "Bacterial small subunit ribosomal RNA", at positions 527 to 896 of the family's 1533-position model. The record is from RNAcentral.